RNAcentral lists this transfer RNA (76 nucleotides) under Sphingobacteriaceae bacterium. RNAcentral describes it as "tRNA-Lys". It matches the Rfam family "tRNA". From Rfam's summary of the family: Transfer RNA (tRNA) molecules are approximately 80 nucleotides in length. Their secondary structure includes four short double-helical elements and three loops (D, anti-codon, and T loops). Further hydrogen bonds mediate the characteristic L-shaped molecular structure. tRNAs have two regions of fundamental functional importance: the anti-codon, which is responsible for specific mRNA codon recognition, and the 3' end, to which the tRNAs corresponding amino acid is attached (by aminoacyl-tRNA synthetases). tRNAs cope with the degeneracy of the genetic code in two manners: having more than one tRNA (with a specific anti-codon) for a particular amino acid; and 'wobble' base-pairing, i.e. permitting non-standard base-pairing at the 3rd anti-codon position. The record is from RNAcentral. Lineage: Bacteria; Pseudomonadati; Bacteroidota; Sphingobacteriia; Sphingobacteriales; Sphingobacteriaceae.
GACUUCGUAGCUCAGCUGGUAGAGCAGUUGACUCUUAAUCAACGGGUCCGGAGUUCGAUCCUCCGCGGGGUCACCA